GUCUAUGGCCAUACCACCUUGAACGCACCCGAUCUCGGAAGCUAAAGGCCUAGUUAGUACUUGGAUGGGAGACUACCUGGAAAAACCUGGUGCUAUAGGGG
Molecule: ribosomal RNA, 101 nt
Organism: Cricetulus griseus (Chinese hamster)
Lineage: Eukaryota; Metazoa; Chordata; Mammalia; Rodentia; Cricetidae
Source: Ensembl